CCUACGGGAGGCAGCAGUGGGGAAUAUUGCGCAAUGGGCGAAAGCCUGACGCAGCGACGCCGCGUGAGGGAUGAAGGUCUUCGGAUCGUAAACCUCUGUCAGCAGGGAAGAACGGUCACUGUGCUAAUCAGCAGUGAAUUGACGGUACCUGCAAAGGAAGCACCGGCUAACUCCGUGCCAGCAGCCGCGGUAAGACGUAGGGGCGAAGCGUUAUCCGGAUGUACGGGGUGGAAAGGUGGCGCAGACGGCGAUGCAAGCCAGGAGUGAAAGCCCGCGGCCCAACCCCGGCACUGCUCUUGGUACUGGGUGGCUGGAGUGCAGGAGGGGCAGGCGGAAUUCCUGGUGUAGCGGUGAAAUGCGUAGAUAUCAGGAGGAACACCGGUGGCGAAGGCGGCCUGCUGGACUGCAACUGACGUUGAGACCCGAAAGCGUGGGGAGCAAACAGGAUUAGAUACCCCGGUAGUC
This 465-nucleotide ribosomal RNA is filed under the name uncultured bacterium. Its description in RNAcentral is "partial 16S ribosomal RNA". It matches the Rfam family "Bacterial small subunit ribosomal RNA", at positions 338 to 795 of the family's 1533-position model. The record is from RNAcentral.